AGUGAACGCUGGCGGUAGGCCUAACACAUGCAAGUCGAACGGCAGCACAGUAAGAGCUUGCUCUUACGGGUGGCGAGUGGCGGACGGGUGAGGAAUACAUCGGAAUCUACUUUUUCGUGGGGGAUAACGUAGGGAAACUUACGCUAAUACCGCAUACGACCUACGGGUGAAAGCAGGGGAUCUUCGGACCUUGCGCGAAUGAAUGAGCCGAUGUCGGAUUAGCUAGUUGGGGGGGUGAAGGCCCACCAAGGCGACGAUCCGUAGCUGGUGUGGGAGGAUGGUAAGCCACACUGGAACUGAGACACGGUCCAGACUCCUACGGGAGGCAGCAGUGGGGAAUAUUGGACAAUGGGCGCAAGCCUGAUCCAGCCAUACCGCGUGGGUGAAGAAGGCCUUCGGACUGUAAAGCCCUUUUGUUGGGAAAGAAAAGCAGCAGGUUAAUACCACGCUGUUCUGACGGUACCCAAAGAAUAAGCACCGGCUAACUUCGUG
This 492-nucleotide ribosomal RNA is filed under the name uncultured bacterium. Its description in RNAcentral is "partial 16S ribosomal RNA". It matches the Rfam family "Bacterial small subunit ribosomal RNA", at positions 29 to 507 of the family's 1533-position model. The record is from RNAcentral.